This 100-nucleotide ribosomal RNA is filed under the name Dunaliella salina. Its description in RNAcentral is "partial small subunit ribosomal RNA". It matches the Rfam family "Eukaryotic small subunit ribosomal RNA", at positions 1661 to 1760 of the family's 1831-position model. Lineage: Eukaryota; Viridiplantae; Chlorophyta; Chlorophyceae; Chlamydomonadales; Dunaliellaceae. RNAcentral also lists the same sequence under 1 other name. The record is from RNAcentral.
UGUACACACCGCCCGUCGCUCCUACCGAUUGGGUGUGCUGGUGAAGUGUUUGGAUCGGUAUCAAUGGGGGGCAACCUCUGUUGGUACUGAGAAGAACAUU